This 253-nucleotide ribosomal RNA is filed under the name uncultured bacterium. RNAcentral's name for it is "partial 16S ribosomal RNA". It matches the Rfam family "Bacterial small subunit ribosomal RNA", at positions 524 to 776 of the family's 1533-position model. The record is from RNAcentral.
UACGAAGGGGGCUAGCGUUGCUCGGAAUCACUGGGCGUAAAGCGCACGUAGGCGGAUUGCUAAGUCAGGGGUGAAAUCCUGGAGCUCAACUCCAGAACUGCCUUUGAUACUGGCGAUCUCGAGUCCGGGAGAGGUGAGUGGAACUGCGAGUGUAGAGGUGAAAUUCGUAGAUAUUCGCAAGAACACCAGUGGCGAAGGUGGCUCACUGGCCCGGUACUGACGCUGAGGUGCGAAAGCGUGGGGAGCAAACAGG